AUUGAACGCUGGCGGCAGGCCUAACACAUGCAAGUCGAGCGGAUGAAGGGAGCUUGCUCCUGGAUUCAGCGGCGGACGGGUGGGUAAUGCCUAGGAAUCUGCCUGGUCGUGGGGGCUAACGUCCGGAAACGGGCGCUAAUACCGCAUACGUCCUGAGGGAGAAAGUGAGGGAUCUUCGGACCUCACGCUAUCAGAUGAGCCUAGGUCGGAUUAGCUAGUUGGUGGGGUAAAGGCCUACCAAGGCGACGAUCCGUAACUGGUCUGAGAGGAUGAUCAGUCACACUGGAACUGAGACACGGUCCAGACUCCUACGGGAGGCAGCAGUGGGGAAUAUUGGACAAUGGGCGAAAGCCUGAUCCAGCAAUGCCGCGUGUGUGAUGAAGGUCUUCGGAUUGUAAAGCACUUUAAGUUGGGAGGAAGGACAGUAAGUUAAUACCUGCAUGUCUUGACGUUACCAACAGAAUAAGCAACGGCUAACUUCGUG
RNAcentral lists this ribosomal RNA (484 nucleotides) under uncultured bacterium. Its description in RNAcentral is "partial 16S ribosomal RNA". It matches the Rfam family "Bacterial small subunit ribosomal RNA", at positions 30 to 507 of the family's 1533-position model. The record is from RNAcentral.